GGUUCAGGGGCUGCUGGGAGUCCCUUCUGAAAUGUGUUGUAUUUACUUUUUCAUAUUGGCAGCUGGAAGGGGAAGCCCAUCCCAGCUCGGCAUUGUUGUCUAACAUGGUUAAUCAGAUCCUAUAAUCCUGCUGUGGAAAUAUUGGGCCUCACUCAAAACAAUAGAGACCGAGAAUAUUGUGGUUAAAUUUCAACCAACGGCCUCCCUGGCCUGUUUGCCUAACCCCUACCCCCCUCUCCCGGGCCAGAGUCCUCCUAGCUUUAUGGACCCCUGAUAGGAUUGACGGCCAGUCAGAAAUGGGUGACAGGAGAGGGGAGAAUGGAGUAGGGGAAGGGUGAUCCUUUUGACUGGCACUUCAUCCUGGCUUUUCCCUCCUACCUCAGGCCUUGAAGGCUGAGCAGGGGAUGGUGAAAGGGGUUGGAGCUGGUAGGGAAGCCCCACAGGGUGUGGGUCUCCACUCAGGGAUCAAGAGCAGUGCUGUUGGGAAUCAUGCAUGGUAAAGACAGCCCUUACUCAAGACAGAAAAAGCCUGAUGCCACAUGAGAAGGGAAGACUGCCAGUUUCAUUUAGCAUUGUUGCCUAGCGGGGAUUUCAGGGCGUCCUGUCACGUGAGAGGAAUGGGGAGGCACUAGUUGUGGAAGGCAGAGCUGGUAAUAAUUUAGAUUUUGUUUCAUAGAUAACAGCAAUACUAAUAACGGUGUGAUGACAUUUGAAGGUGAUACUGAUGGCCCUACUUGAGUGGUUUUCUGAUAGUGGUAAUGUCUGUUGUGUUGCCCUCUUUCAUAGGUGUGAAUUAAAUCUGGCAGGAAAAUUUACAUAGUUAGAAUAGCAAGACAAAGGGAAUAGAUCAUUUCAGAAGGAUAAGCUGUACAAUGGUAUUUUGAAUUAAAAAAAAAAAAGAAAGAAAAGAUUGAGUGUCUGGAUUGUGCUAAAGGGG
Molecule: long non-coding RNA, 937 nt
Filed under: Homo sapiens (human)
Lineage: Eukaryota; Metazoa; Chordata; Mammalia; Primates; Hominidae
Description: LHRI_LNC599.1
Source: RNAcentral